RNAcentral lists this ribosomal RNA (245 nucleotides) under uncultured bacterium. Its description in RNAcentral is "partial 16S ribosomal RNA". It matches the Rfam family "Bacterial small subunit ribosomal RNA", at positions 1256 to 1500 of the family's 1533-position model. The record is from RNAcentral.
GGUGACGUGGAGCAAACCUCAGAAAGCCAAUCUCAGUUCGGAUUGUAGGCUGCAACUCGCCUACAUGAAGUUGGAAUCGCUAGUAAUCGCGAAUCAGAAUGUCGCGGUGAAUACGUUCCCGGGUCUUGUACACACCGCCCGUCACACCACGAGAGUUUACAACACCCGAAGUCAGUGGCCUAACCGCAAGGAGGGAGCUGCCUAAGGUGGGGUAGAUGAUUGGGGUGAAGUCGUAACAAGGUAAC